Molecule: non-coding RNA, 24 nt
Filed under: Rattus norvegicus (Norway rat)
Lineage: Eukaryota; Metazoa; Chordata; Mammalia; Rodentia; Muridae
Source: RNAcentral
UUGACAACAUAAUUCAGAAGCCUU